AUGGAGCUGGCUGUAUUCAAGUUUCCCAGCUUUUAUUGGGGUCUCCCCAGUAAUUUUCCUGCCACCCCCAACAACAAUUUAGGAUGUAAAGACAGAGGUAAAUCUACAAGUAAGAGGCAGCACUCGCUCUUGUUGAACAUCUUUCAUAAUCUUUUUCCAGAGAACUGUAAACAAAUCUUAUUGCUGACUAGCAUCUUCGCUUGCAUCCAUGCUUUCCUUAUCUUCAUCUUCCAUACCGUGUGUGUGUACACAGACAAACUUGGGAUGUUUUUCUUCACCCCUUCUCUUGGAUUAUGUCCAGCAUAGUUUCUUUAGAGGGGAGACUGUCACGGCAUACCUUUGCACUUAAGUUUGUUUUGCCUUUAUAUUCAGAUUUCACUUCAACAAGCUACUGGGUAAAUUGGGCCUAUAUAAUCUAGUUUGCCUGUUAUAGCUGUCUAAUUUAAAAACAAAACCAAAAAGUUAAGUAUUAAGAGGAGAAAAUAAGUGUGAAUAUAGUUGUAUACAUAUAAAAUAUACUGGAAGUGACUCUUAUGUGGUCUCUAAAAUAUCAGUAGCUAGAUAGCUGUAUAAAAACUUGUGUUGCUGCAGGUUCCUGUAUAUUUACACUGGCAAAUCUUGUUUUAAAUCUUGUUUUAGUUGACACUUCUUUACCAACUUACCCUUCUGGCAGAGACCAUCCUGCAGUGUUACUGUAGGAGCAAACAGAGAAAAGAAGAGGAAAAUGCCACAAGCUUUCCCCGUUUGUGGUCUGCUGAACUGUUCUGUUCUUACAGAUAGCCCUGUUAAUUUAAGAAAAUUAUUUUAUCCCAUGAACUCAUUAGAAAACUCCUUACAGUGGAAGGGAACACUUGGAUCUGGUCUAUGUAAGUAGCUUUUCUUCUAAUAAUUUGGUGUAAGAAUGUCAUUUGUGUUAUCUAAGGAACCAGUAAAAGUACUAUACAUAUUGAAAAUGCUGCUAAUAUUUUGUGUAAGAAAAAGAUGCACGGGAGAGAUGUGAAGUCCAAGUCCCUCACCUACGUCUUCCAAUAAAAUAGCUUGGUCAGUUUAGGCUGGAGGCA
Molecule: long non-coding RNA, 1061 nt
Filed under: Anas platyrhynchos platyrhynchos (common mallard)
Lineage: Eukaryota; Metazoa; Chordata; Aves; Anseriformes; Anatidae
Description: lncRNA (ENSAPLG00000027163.1)
Source: RNAcentral